CGCUGGCGGCAGGCUUAACACAUGCAAGUCGAGCGUAGCACAAGAGAGCUUGCUCUCUGGGUGACGAGCGGCGGACGGGUGAGUAAUGUCUGGGAAACUGCCUGAUGGAGGGGGAUAACUACUGGAAACGGUAGCUAAUACCGCAUAACGUCGCAAGACCAAAGAGGGGGACCUUCGGGCCUCUUGCCAUCAGAUGUGCCCAGAUGGGAUUAGCUAGUAGGUGGGGUAAUGGCUCACCUAGGCGACGAUCCCUAGCUGGUCUGAGAGGAUGACCAGCCACACUGGAACUGAGACACGGUCCAGACUCCUACGGGAGGCAGCAGUGGGGAAUAUUGCACAAUGGGCGCAAGCCUGAUGCAGCCAUGCCGCGUGUGUGAAGAAGGCCUUCGGGUUGUAAAGCACUUUCAGCGAGGAGGAAGGUGGUGAACUUAAUACGUUCAUCAAUUGACG
This 450-nucleotide ribosomal RNA is filed under the name uncultured Serratia sp. RNAcentral's name for it is "bacterial SSU rRNA". It matches the Rfam family "Bacterial small subunit ribosomal RNA", at positions 34 to 474 of the family's 1533-position model. The record is from RNAcentral. Lineage: Bacteria; Pseudomonadati; Pseudomonadota; Gammaproteobacteria; Enterobacterales; Yersiniaceae.